Molecule: ribosomal RNA, 253 nt
Filed under: uncultured bacterium
Lineage: Bacteria
Description: partial 16S ribosomal RNA
Rfam family: Bacterial small subunit ribosomal RNA
Source: RNAcentral
UACGAAGGGGGCUAGCGUUGCUCGGAAUGACUGGGCGUAAAGGGCGCGUAGGCGGAUUGUACAGUCAGGCGUGAAGUUCCCGGGCUCAACCUGGGGGCUGCGCUUGAGACGUGCGAUCUUGAGUGGGGAAGAGGGUCGUGGAAUUCCCAGUGUAGAGGUGAAAUUCGUAGAUAUUGGGAAGAACACCGGUGGCGAAGGCGGCGACCUGGUCCUUGACUGACGCUGAGGCGCGAAAGCGUGGGGAGCAAACAGG